CUACGGGCCGCUCCAGUAAGGAAUAUUGCGCAAUGGAGGCAACUCUGACGCAGCCAUGCCGCGUGCAGGAAGAAGGCCUUAUGGGUCGUAAACUGCUUUUAUUUAGGAAUAAACCCCCGAACGUGUUCGGGGCUGAAGGUACUAAACGAAUAAGCACCGGCUAACUCCGUGCCAGCAGCCGCGGUAAUACGGAGGGUGCAAGCGUUAUCCGGAUUUAUUGGGUUUAAAGGGUGCGCAGGCGGGCUAUUAAGUCAGUGGUGAAAUCCCGGGGCUCAACUCCGGAACUGCCAUUGAUACUGAUAGUCUUGAGUUUGGUUGAAGUGGGCGGAAUGUAGCAUGUAGCGGUGAAAUGCAUAGAUAUGCUACAGAACACCAAUCGCGAAGGCAGCUCACUAAGCCAAAACUGACGCUCAUGCACGAAAGCGUGGGGAUCAAACAGGAUUAGAUACCCUUGUAAUC
Molecule: ribosomal RNA, 459 nt
Filed under: uncultured bacterium
Lineage: Bacteria
Description: partial 16S ribosomal RNA
Rfam family: Bacterial small subunit ribosomal RNA
Source: RNAcentral